GUAAUUGGGAGAGUUAAAAAUGUAAUAGACACAUGCAAAUAAACUAUUAUUAUUGUUGUUUUAUUGUUAUUAUAUUUUCAUCACAGUGUCUUAAAUAUAACAUGUAAAUAUAAAUUUUAAGAAUACCAUUAAUAAUAAAAUACAUCAAGACUUUUAUCGGUUUAAUUCAUACAAGUCAGUUUGGAAUGUUUGAUCCUGACUAAAAAAGUAGCGAGGUAAUCUCGCGAGAUUACAGCCUCCCCAUAUAGAGAUACACGAGAGUCCGAGACUGGAGAGUUUAACGGCUGUCUGCGUGAUCAUCGAGAAAGUGCAUCGAGAGCCCUUCAAAUUAAAAAUAGUGAUGGUGAUCUUGUCAAUGCUGAGAUUUUAAUGCAUCAACAGCCAUUACAUCUGUCUGGAUCAGGAUUGAACAAGAAUCAGACAGCAAGGGUUGUCAGAUCAGAAACGUAAUAACACAAACAUAAGAAACUUCACAGGGCUGUGACAGUGACAGUAUUUUACCACCGCGAUGGUAAUGCACCAAUUCACCACUGUGGUGCGGUGGUUAUAGAAUGUGUUUGUGUGAGGGGGGAGGCGGCAAUUUCUUUUUCCGCCGGUGGGUGCUCAUCACAACCUCAAGCUUUACUUCGCAACGCCAGGUGCUCUAGAGUCUGGAGAGCUCAAAGGCUUUGAAGAGGUGGAAAGUGGCGCAGUCACGUUUUCGUGUGAAUUGUGACGUUAAAGGCAGAUCACCGUGCAACUUGGUGAAGUCAUGUGUCUUUCCAGAUGGCCAAAUCUGUACCCCUCAAAAAAACUUUAUUAAACGCCAUGAUAGACAAGAUGAGCCUUAAGAGGAGAUUUGGGAAGAUGCUGUUUCAUAAGUCUUUGCUUUGCCAGAUUAUCUGUGGUUGGGGUGUCUGCCAAUGUGAUGCCUUGCUGGUCUGGUUUGAGUUUGAAGUCUCUCACAGACAGUCCAGAAGGUCUGGAGUCCAUCUUAGCUUUCAUUGAUGCUGUCAUCAUAUUUUAAGUGCAUGAGCCAGAAUGGACGGGUGGUGGUGGCCAUAAGAAGACCGUCAACUAAACUAGGGUGACCAUACGUGCCAUUCUUCCUGGACCCGUCCUGUCCAGUCUUUUGGAACUCGUAUUUGUCGACCGCAUACGUCACAGAGGAUUAUUAUUAUUAUUACAGAAAAGCAACCGUUACAUUUUAAGGUAAGAAGAAUGAAACUACGAUUGUAUAUCUUAUGUUUUUAACUGAAUGGCGUAUGCGGUCAACAAAUACGACUUCCGGAAGACGCACCGAAAUCCUGGACGGGAUGUGUCCGGGAAGAAUGGCACGUAUGGUCACCCUAUCUAAACCAACAACAAAAUUCAUAUUUGCUGUUAUAAAUAAAAUGACU
Molecule: non-coding RNA, 1379 nt
Organism: Paramisgurnus dabryanus
Lineage: Eukaryota; Metazoa; Chordata; Actinopteri; Cypriniformes; Cobitidae
Source: RefSeq, a predicted model, not a curated record